UCUCUCUGUGCAAAAAGCAGCAGCAGAGCAAGAAUGAUAAAGAGACGCACACUCUGCUCCAUCUUCUUCUUCAUCUUGUUUAACUUGUUCCUCAUCGUCUUCUUAUUCGUCUUCAUCAGCAUCACUUUGCUCUACAACCACUUUUUCCUUUUUGCUCUUGCACUCAUACAAGAAGUUCAGCUUCAUCUUGAGGUUGAGGUUGGGGACGAGAUUGCUUGGGACGGUCGUGGUGUCGGUGGUUCGUAGGCUCGUCUUCGUCGUCGUUGAGAUUGUCUGGCAAAGAACGCUUUUGUGCGGGCAUUGAUGUCACACUCAAAAACCAAAGAGAGAGAGAGAGAGAGAGAGAGAGAGAGAUUGAUUGUGGGUAGUGAAGAAGAGGAGAGUCUCUGGGUCUUAGCUUCCAGAAUACCAAAUCGUAAGUUUCUUGUUCGAGAUGGAAAAAGAAGGAAAGAAAAACAACAAAAGAUGGGAGAUUUUCGCUAGUUAGCAACAAUGAAAGAGGCUGCUAUAGAGGUAAAGACAUUGCCAGGGGCAGAGAAGAAGAAGCCAGCUUUUCUCUUUUGCUGACAGGCAUCCCAAGAGAUUGCAUCAGCAAAUGCAGAACUCAGAGUUGUCAGUUCAAAUGUGAAGACUGAACACUUCCGAUAGCAGCCAGAAUCUUAGAAACCAUCAUACGCCUCUCAACUGCUCAUGCUAAAUUGAAACUAAGAAGAAAGGUAAACAUCUCUUCACUUUGAUACGCAUAUAAAUUAUGAUUAUAUAAGAUCAUGGUUGUGCCUUUUCCACCUGGUUAGCAUUUCAUUUGUAAUCAUGUUGGCGCAUAUUUUCUGUUGGAUGUUUAAUUUUCCUGUAUAGGUUUCGAAAUCUGAUGGUAGGCUGCUAUGAAAGUUCUAACCUUUGCAAUAUAUCAUGAAGAACCUACUGAGAUGGAGUAGCACAAGCAAGAGAGAGAGAGAGAGAGAGAGUGAGAGAGAGCAAUUGCAAAACAAAUUUUAGGAUAAUAAAGUUUGUAUUUGGCAUGGUUUGUCUUGUCGUGUAGUGGGGAGGAUUAUGAGAAUUAUUGAAGAUGAAACUCACACUUAGUGCCGCAGAUUUUAUGAGUUUGAGUUAUUUGCACACCCUUUGCCUAUCUAUAGUAUUAAUUAACUGUGAAUAAAGUUUAAAAGAAAUAAAUUAACACUUUCUAUAUACAUAUAUAUAUAUAUAUAUUAUUUUUGCGAAGGUUAUAUUGAUUACUGCAGGUAUAUCUUUGCUUAAAGUUGGUGGCAGAAUGGUGUACUCAACCUGCUCAAUGAAUCCAAUUGAAAAGGAAGCUGUGGUAACUGAGGUGAUAUGUCAGUCAUCCUACUUGCCAAAGAAACACAAUGCUGCAAGAUGGAAACAACCUCUCAAAACUUAGCAAAGAAGAGGAAAACUAGAUUCUAAAGCUCAAACUUUAAUUUGGCAUAAUUUAUGGGCCUAUUUGGGAUUUUCAAGGAUCCUAGUAGUUUUUAAUUAGAGUAUUUUAUUAUUUUAGUUUCAUUAAGAUUUUUAGGAAAGUUUAUUAGUUGGUUUCCUUAUUUAAUUAGGUUUUCUAUUAUGUUAGUUU
Ziziphus jujuba (common jujube) is the source of this 1588-nucleotide long non-coding RNA. RefSeq lists it as uncharacterized. The transcript is spliced from 3 exons. NCBI's taxonomy places the organism in Eukaryota, Viridiplantae, Streptophyta, Magnoliopsida, Rosales, Rhamnaceae. The record is from RefSeq and is a predicted model, not a curated record.